This 433-nucleotide ribosomal RNA is filed under the name uncultured bacterium. RNAcentral describes it as "partial 16S ribosomal RNA". It matches the Rfam family "Bacterial small subunit ribosomal RNA", at positions 29 to 507 of the family's 1533-position model. The record is from RNAcentral.
AGCGAACGCUGGCGGCAGGCUUAACACAUGCAAGUCGAGCGGGCCCUUCGGGGUCAGCGGCAGACGGGUGAGUAACGCGUGGGAACGUGCCCUUCGGUUCGGAAUAACUCAGGGAAACUUGAGCUAAUACCGGAUACGCCCUUAUGGGGAAAGGCUUGCUGCCGAAGGAUCGGCCCGCGUCUGAUUAGCUAGUUGGUGAGGUUAUGGCUCACCAAGGCGACGAUCAGUAGCUGGUCUGAGAGGAUGAUCAGCCACACUGGGACUGAGACACGGCCCAGACUCCUACGGGAGGCAGCAGUGGGGAAUAUUGGACAAUGGGGGCAACCCUGAUCCAGCCAUGCCGCGUGAGUGAUGACGGCCUUAGGGUUGUAAAGCUCUUUUAUCCGGGACGAUAAUGACGGUACCGGAGGAAUAAGCCCCGGCUAACUUCGUG